UGAGGACUUGCCAGGAAAAAUGGACAUUUUCCUCUCCCCCUAAAAAAAGAUAAAACUCCUUCCUGGUUAUUAAGUGAAAUGCUCAUCGAGCUUUGUCCUAAAGAAGAUCAGCCGUGGACAAGAACCUUGUGAAAUGUUCCCCAUUUGAGACCCUAAAACUAAUGACAGUCACAGCUUUUGGGUGGUCCUCUAUGAAUGGAGUGAAUUACAAUAUUUGAGGAGUCUUCCUUACCUCAUCUCUGAAGGCAGAGAUAUCCCAUAGCCUCAGGGCCCUGGCUUUCUGUAGAGCCGCUGACGAAGUCCCCCUGAGCCAGAGCUGAGUCCCUGCUGCGUCCAACAGCCUCGGGUUCUUGCAUUCUUUCCCGUCCAGCGUCUUGCAUUGACCCUGGGCGUCCCCAGCGCGGGCCCGUUCACGUCUCACCAUUCGUAUCUCAGCAUCAGCGUUCACACUGUAAGUAACGCCCUGGCUCUUCUCCAACCUGUUU
Molecule: long non-coding RNA, 485 nt
Organism: Pongo pygmaeus (Bornean orangutan)
Lineage: Eukaryota; Metazoa; Chordata; Mammalia; Primates; Hominidae
Exons: 3
Source: RefSeq, a predicted model, not a curated record